AGAUAGGGAAGAAGGUAGAUAGAACCAGACCUUGCAGAUCUGUCCUGCUGCAGCCUUUCCUAUAGAUCUGUUGAUGGAGAUCUCACCCGUGCCUCAAACGAUCUCAGAUCAACUCCAGAUCUGAGAGGAACUUGUACCAACCUCUUCUCAAUAGAUUUCAGAUCCUGGACUAAUGUUUGGAUGGCUGCAAGAGAGGGAGAGAGAAAAGUGGUUGGCGGCACAAAGGGGGAGCCUAGCGCCUCCCCUUGCUUUUCCUGCCUUUUUGGGACCUGGCGGCAAGAAACCCUAGGAUUUCUUGCUCCUGGGGCAUGGAGAAUAGCUGGAGAGAGAGAGAGGGAGAA
Molecule: long non-coding RNA, 341 nt
Filed under: Elaeis guineensis (African oil palm)
Lineage: Eukaryota; Viridiplantae; Streptophyta; Magnoliopsida; Arecales; Arecaceae
Description: long non-coding RNA (EGUI_LNC067099)
Source: RNAcentral